Molecule: ribosomal RNA, 253 nt
Filed under: uncultured bacterium
Lineage: Bacteria
Description: partial 16S ribosomal RNA
Rfam family: Bacterial small subunit ribosomal RNA
Source: RNAcentral
UACGUAGGGCGCAAGCGUUGUCCGGAAUUAUUGGGCGUAAAGAGCUCGUAGGCGGCUUGUCGCGUCGGUUGUGAAAGCCCGGGGCUCAACCCCGGGUCUGCAGUCGAUACGGGCAGGCUAGAGUGUGGUAGGGGAGAUCGGAAUUCCUGGUGUAGCGGUGAAAUGCGUAGAUAUCUGGAGGAACACCGGUGGCGAAGGCGGCAUCCUGGACCAUUACUGACACUGAAAAGCGAAAGCCAGGGGAGCAAACGGG